Non-coding RNA from Canis lupus familiaris (dog), 104 nucleotides. Lineage: Eukaryota; Metazoa; Chordata; Mammalia; Carnivora; Canidae. The record is from Rfam.
AGGAGGAACAACCGCAGUGGCGGGGCCAGCUCUGGAGCCCUGGAGUCAGCCCCCGCAGGAACCACGGAGCUCUCCUCUGCAGGGCCUGGAGGCUCCGGGGCGGG